AUGGAGAGCCAGGUCACAUCUUCAUUUGCAGCAGCAGCAGCAGCAUGGUGGCACUUUUCACUGUGUCACCCUGGCUCCUGCUCGUGGCAGGGCUGUGCUGUCUCUGGGCUCCAGGGAGGGUUGUUGCCACACCAACAGCACACACAGCUCCCCAGGGCUCCUGCUCCCCAUCAGCAGCCGCAGCAGCCUCGGUGGAUUUGGGGAGUCUCUCAGGAGGGGCUGACAGGUUGUCCUGGGGCUGAGCACUGGGGUAGAGCACAGAGCUGCACAGGGGUGUCCACCCUUGGGGGAGCAGCUCUGACAGUCCCUCCUUCUGCCAGGUCUGGCUGCAGCUGCUGGUGGAUGAGGAUGGCUGGACACUGGUGGCUCGUCCCCCCAACUCGAGGCUUGCUGCUCUGCAUCUUGGCUCUUCAACUCUGUCUUCAGGACUCUCUUGCCACAGCAGUGCACAACACAGCUGCCAGUACCAUGGUGACGGCCACCAAGAACACCUCAGCAGCCACCAAGAACACCUUGGUAGGGGUGGUGACCACCAAGAAAGCCUCAUUGGUGGCUGUGACCACCAAGAACACUUCAGUGGCCACACAGAAUGCUGCAGUGGUGGUGGUCACCAAGAACACCUCGGUGAUAGCCAUGGCCACCAAGAACACCUCAGCGGCCACCAAGAACACCUCAGUGAUGGCCAUGGCCACUAAGAACAUCUCAGUGGCCACCAAUAACACCUCAGUGUUAGUCAAGGCCACCAAGAAUGCAUUGGCAGCUACCAAGAACACCCCAGUGAUGGCCAUGACCACCAAGAAUGCCUCAGCAGCCACCAAGAAUGGCUUGGUGGUGGUGGCAUCUACCAAGGAAGCCUCGGCAGCCACCAAGAACACCUCAGAGGUGAUGGUCACCAACAAUGCCUCUCUGGUGGCCACCAACACCUCUGUGAAGGGAGCAGAAGAGACAAUGCAAACGUGCCAGAGCUUCCAGUGCUCCGGAGAGAGGUGUUACCAGGACGCAGCCCAUACCAACAGAACAACCACCUGCCAUAAUGAGACCUACUGCGAGCUUUAUCGUUUCUCCAGCACAAACUACACAGCCAGGUGCAGCGGUGGGUGCAGCGUGGAGCCGUGCAGCACCAACAGCAGUGUGAGCAGGCAGCAGUGUGCCCUGGAGUGCUGUGCUGGCCCUCUCUGCCUGCAGCUCAACGCCAGCGCCUACGGUGACCUGCCACCCACCACCACCAGCACCGUGCCACUGACAACCACCACCACCACCCCCCAGCCUCCCCCCCAAAACGGCAAAGUGUGUGCAGCAUUUUCCUGUCAUGGGGACGAGUGUUUCAAAGACAAGAAGACCUUCACUAGGUGCAUUUUGGGGCAGGACUUCUGUGAGAUGAAGAAGAUGGGCUUGAAUUACAUGGCAGGAUGUAGCAAAGCCUGCAAGGCUGCCAAACCAGUCUGUGCUGGUGGGAUGAAGGCUGCCUGCUACCUGGAGUGCUGCCCAGCCACCCCAAAAGCCAGCUGUCUGAGACUGGAUGGCAAAGUUCACGUCAAUAGUGCUGGGCAGGUGACACUGGCCCCGCUCCUGGAGAUCAUGGCAUGUGGGGUGGUCCUUCUCCUGAAUUACUGCGUCUCCACUUCCCUCUGGGGUUAGAUGAUCAGGUGGCUUCACAGCCUCUCCUGUAGCAUCAGUAGGAUCCCACCGCUCUCUGACUUCAGCCAAGGUUGCUAGCAAAUGCCCUCUGUGCUGUCUCUGUCCCUUCAACAGCGCGUCUGGGGCCCUUUGCAUCUGCUCAUGGGCAGCUGCCCACCCUUGGGGGUCACUCUGCUUGCCCUACACAGGACCCUGCUGUUGAUCCUAAAGUCCCCUUAAGCUGCACUCUGAAUCCCACACCAUCCCAGGAUGGGUGAGUCCUGGCAUGUCAAUAAAUUUUAAGUACUUGAAAACA
This 1933-nucleotide long non-coding RNA is filed under the name Cyanistes caeruleus (blue tit). Its description in RNAcentral is "lncRNA (ENSCCEG00000012698.1)". The record is from RNAcentral. Lineage: Eukaryota; Metazoa; Chordata; Aves; Passeriformes; Paridae.